UUGCUCCUUUGCGUUAGCGGCGGACGGGUGAGUACACGUGGGCACCUACCUUAUAGUUUGGGAUAACUCCGGGAAACCGGGGCUAAUACCGAAUAAUCUGUUCCACCUCAUGGUGGAACACUGAAAGACGGUUUCGGCUGUCGCUAUAGGAUGGGCCCGCGGCGCAUUAGCUAGUUGGUGAGGUAACGGCUCACCAAGGCGACGAUGCGUAGCCGACCUGAGAGGGUGAUCGGCCACACUGGGACUGAGACACGGCCCAGACUCCUACGGGAGGCAGCAGUAGGGAAUCUUCCACAAUGGGCGAAAGCCUGAUGGAGCAACGCCGCGUGAGUGAAGAAGGUUUUCGGAUCGUAAAACUCUGUUGUAAGGGAAGAACAAGUACAGUAGUAACUGGCUGUACCUUGACGGUACCUUAUUAGAAAGCCA
This 426-nucleotide ribosomal RNA is filed under the name Lysinibacillus xylanilyticus. Its description in RNAcentral is "bacterial SSU rRNA". It matches the Rfam family "Bacterial small subunit ribosomal RNA", at positions 79 to 493 of the family's 1533-position model. Lineage: Bacteria; Bacillati; Bacillota; Bacilli; Caryophanales; Bacillaceae. The record is from RNAcentral.